UGUAGAGGGUGCCACCAAGUUCAUUCUACAG
RNAcentral lists this non-coding RNA (31 nucleotides) under Rattus norvegicus (Norway rat). Lineage: Eukaryota; Metazoa; Chordata; Mammalia; Rodentia; Muridae. The record is from RNAcentral.